GCGGGGGUGGCGGAAUAGGUAGACGCGCCAGGUUGAGGGCCUGGUGGCUUACGGGCUGUGGGAGUUCAAGUCUCCCCCUCCGCACCA
This 87-nucleotide transfer RNA is filed under the name Thermovirgaceae bacterium. RNAcentral describes it as "tRNA-Leu". It matches the Rfam family "tRNA". From Rfam's summary of the family: Transfer RNA (tRNA) molecules are approximately 80 nucleotides in length. Their secondary structure includes four short double-helical elements and three loops (D, anti-codon, and T loops). The record is from RNAcentral. Lineage: Bacteria; Thermotogati; Synergistota; Synergistia; Synergistales; Thermovirgaceae.